This is a long non-coding RNA of Ipomoea nil (Japanese morning glory), 891 nucleotides long. RefSeq lists it as uncharacterized. NCBI's taxonomy places the organism in Eukaryota, Viridiplantae, Streptophyta, Magnoliopsida, Solanales, Convolvulaceae. The transcript is spliced from 3 exons. The record is from RefSeq and is a predicted model, not a curated record.
CUUACCGGAUCUCUCUCUAUCUUUAACGUACGUUGGCCGAAGAACCUUUCCCACGCCGUUCGAUUCGUGUUCUUCGUCAACGGCGGUGGAUGAUGGUCGUCGGUGGGGCUGAAGUGGAGCCAAGCGACGGGAACCACCAACUCGGGUUCAUGUUCCCAAUUCUACGAUUAGGCCACUACUUUCUCCUUUGAUUUGAUUUUCGCAAUGGCUGGUAAGAAAUAAUUGACAAUUCUACUAUCUCACCUUCAAAACAGCGUAAAUAUGGUGACUGUCUGAAAGAUAGGAAGGAUAUGCUGGCAGAAUUCUUCAAAACUUUGGACCCUGCGAAGUCUACAAUCUGUGUAGGUUUGGAUGCCAAGCGCAUGCAAAUGGCUUGGCGCGAUUCGAAGAAUAAGAUUGACUGUGGAGUUUUUGUCAUGCGUCCUAUGGAGACGUAAUAAGUAGGCCAAAGGGUGUCCAAAUGGGAGUGUGGCCUUACCAAAGGAGACACUACUAAGCUCCACCAGCUCAGGUUACAUUACAUGAAGGAAAUUGCGGCCUCCGAAUUCAAUAUGAAUAGAAGUAGGAACCUCAGACUGGUUUAUCAGUUUAUUUCUACUGUUUAGAGUACCAUUGAUUACUAUGACAGUGUAACUGUACUGUCACCGGGUUUGCCUAUUUGUUGGACUAGAUUGUUUACUUAUAGAUGGUUAGAAUAGCCUUCCUUGUACUGUAUCUAUUCAGUUUUGGGAUGCCGUAUUUAUUACUCUAUGAUAUUUCCAAUUAUUUUUGUACAGUGAUGUAUUCUUCUUCUCUACAAGUAUGUGGUGCCCCGUUGUGUGCACAGUGUGUAAUUGUGGGUGCACAACAUGCAUGCAUCCCUCUCCACUAAAAAUCGUUUCGGUUCGCUCA